UGCUGGUUGGCGUUAAGUAAGCCCAGCUGUUUACGCUGGAGAAACAAGGGGGACAGAACUCUAAAUUAUUAGUAUGGUAUCUUUAGAAUGACAGGCAGUGGGGCUAUUGCUUGGCUUCUUUAAAAAAAGCAAGUUGGGUAGGCGCCUGUGAAUUCCCCUCCUUUUCCUGUUGGCCUUGACAGCAACUCCUCAAGCCCAGUGAGAUGAUGUCAUAAAACCGGCUCAACCUGUGGAAGGAUCAUGUACAAUCCAGUCUCCGUGGAGUUCUGCCUGCAGCUGUCCACUGAGACAGGCAGAGGACCCAAGCCUGGAGGGUGGCAGCUCUGGGGCAGGUGCAUGGAGACCUGUGGCGAGGGGCAAAGCACUGGAAUCUUUUCUUCAAGAGAAGUAUUUCAUGGAGGUCGCGGACGCAAUACGUAUAAAAGCAGCACACUGUGACAAGUAGGAGAGACAGAUGGAUCCCUACCAUCCAGGCUUUCCCUUCUCCCUACGGCUCGCGGGUACACAGGGGAAAACGUGUUUCGGAGUGCUGGGAUCUGCUGAAUCAGUCAUCACUCAUCCAUCUGCCUUCCAGCUUCCAAAAUGUUGAUGUUUUCUCUUCUUCUUUUUUUUUUCUUUUUUGUUUUUUGAGCUUAGCCCUUUUUAAAAGAUCACUUUACUGUCAUUUCCGUGUAUUUUUGGAAGAGAAACUGUUUGUUCAUUCUAAUGUCUUUAACCAGAAUCUGACCUCUCUACAUUUAACUUUCUUGUUCUUCUCUAAUAAUAGUCCUAAUGAGAUAAGCAGGAAAGAUAUCAUUGCCCUUCUUUUACUGAUAAAAUAUUUGAGAGUUAGAUUGUUUAAGUGACUUGUUUGAGAUUACUAAACAGGUCCUAGAAUAUUCAAGUCUCAGAAGUCAUAUUUGUUAUUCUUUUUACCUAAUGUAAAUUGCUG
RNAcentral lists this long non-coding RNA (931 nucleotides) under Equus caballus (horse). Its description in RNAcentral is "lncRNA (ENSECAG00000036902.2)". Lineage: Eukaryota; Metazoa; Chordata; Mammalia; Perissodactyla; Equidae. The record is from RNAcentral.